AUCUUUUUGUAGUUCAUGAGCAUGAUGACUGGGUUUUCACACGAAUGUGUGAGAUGUGCCACUCUCUGAACCUUAUUAUGAUCUUGGCACAUUACCCAUCCGACC
Macaca fascicularis (crab-eating macaque) is the source of this 105-nucleotide small nucleolar RNA. The record is from Ensembl. NCBI's taxonomy places the organism in Eukaryota, Metazoa, Chordata, Mammalia, Primates, Cercopithecidae.